CUAAACUCAUUUGAUUAUGAGU
This 22-nucleotide small nuclear RNA is filed under the name Arabidopsis thaliana (thale cress). RNAcentral's name for it is "snRNA_10442". Lineage: Eukaryota; Viridiplantae; Streptophyta; Magnoliopsida; Brassicales; Brassicaceae. The record is from RNAcentral.